Zophobas morio is the source of this 306-nucleotide long non-coding RNA. RefSeq lists it as uncharacterized. NCBI's taxonomy places the organism in Eukaryota, Metazoa, Arthropoda, Insecta, Coleoptera, Tenebrionidae. The record is from RefSeq and is a predicted model, not a curated record. The transcript has 4 exons.
UACAAUAGAAUUGACGAAGAAAAUGUAAUAACAGAUAAUAACUGCUUAGAAACAAUAGUAGUUAAGACAAAUGAUGCUCCUAGUGAUACUUCAGUUUACAAAGAGACACAAGAACCCAUUCCCAGCACUAGUAAAGGCACGUGCUCUACAGUUUAUAGAGUGGAUGAUAAUUUACCUUUAGAUAUUGUACCGGUACCGUAUAAACGGUGUGAUUCGUUUUUGGAAAAACUUCCAAAUCUGGAAGUGACAUACGAGCUUGAUUUGAAAAAAUUUUUGCAAAAUUCUAUAAAAGGUCGUAAUAUAUUG